GGAGGGGGAUAACUACUGGAAACGGUAGCUAAUACCGCAUAACGUCGCAAGACCAAAGAGGGGGACCUUCGGGCCUCUUGCCAUCAGAUGUGCCCAGAUGGGAUUAGCUAGUAGGUGGGGUAACGGCUCACAUAGGCGACGAUCCCUAGCUGGUCUGAGAGGAUGACCAGCCACACUGGAACUGAGACACGGUCCAGACUCUACGGGAGGCAGCAGUGGGGAAUAUUGCACAAUGGGCGCAAGCGUGAUGCAGCCAUGCCGCGUGUAUGAAGAAGGCCUUCGGGUUGUAAAGUACUUUCAGCGGGGAGGAAGGUGUUGAGGUUAAUAACCUCAGCAAUUGACGUUACCCGCAGAAGAAGCACCGGCUAACUCCGUGCCAGCAGCCGCGGUAAUACGGAGGGUGCAAGCGUUNAUCGGAAUUACUGGGCGUAAAGCGCACGCAGGCGGUCUGUCAAGUCGGAUGUGAAAUCCCCGGGCUCAACCUGGGAACUGCAUUCGAAACUGGCAGGCUAGAGUCUNGUAGAGGGGGGUAGAAUUCCAGGUGUAGCGGUGAAAUGCGUAGAGAUCUGGAGGAAUACCGGUGGCGAAGGCGGCCCCCUGGACAAAGACUGACGCUCAGGUGCGAAAGCGUGGGGAGCAAACAGGAUUAGAUACCCUGGUAGUCCACGCCGUAAACGAUGUCGACUUGGAGGUUGUGCCCUUGAGGCGUGGCUUCCGGAGCUAACGCGUUAAGUCGACCGCCUGGGGAGUACGGCCGCAAGGUUAAAACUCAAAUGAAUUGACGGGGGCCCGCACAAGCGGUGGAGCAUGUGGUUUAAUUCGAUGCAACGCGAAGAACCUUACCUACUCUUGACAUCCAGANAACUUNNCAGAGAUGGAUUGGUGCCUUCGGGAACUCUG
Molecule: ribosomal RNA, 900 nt
Filed under: Enterobacter mori
Lineage: Bacteria; Pseudomonadati; Pseudomonadota; Gammaproteobacteria; Enterobacterales; Enterobacteriaceae
Description: bacterial SSU rRNA
Rfam family: Bacterial small subunit ribosomal RNA
Source: RNAcentral